UUAAAUUUAAAACACCCUUUAGGGUGUAAUCCGGGUGUAACUGGGGUGUAAACUAAUUUUUACUCCCAAAUUACACCAGCUCGAAGAAACAUCCUGGGAUGAGGGGUGUUAAAUGGGUGUAAUAAUAAAGUAACACCUUAUUUACAACGUCCACUGAGCUCGGGUGUAAAAGAGGCGUAAAAUGGGUGUAGCGGGCAUAGAGCUUUUACAUGAACUGUAUUUCUUUUGAAAGCACAAUGAUAUGCUUCAUGUUACCUACAGAUGCAUACACUAGGGCACCUCAGUAGAAAUUUUGAGUCUACACUGUAAAUCCUGUGGCGAACAUGUGCCGGUUAAAUAGGUUCCCUCAGAAAGUACAGCCGGUACACAGCCGUAACCGUCUGGAAGCAGCCGUAACAGCUAUCAAAUAGCAAGCUCAACGAUCCCUAUCGCCAAAUAUGUGUGCUCCACUGAAUAAUACGUGUGCCUCCUGAGCCGUAUAUUCGUGUGCUUGUCGAAUAAUCCGUGUGCCGGCUGAAUAUGUGUGCCUUAGCUGGAGCGUACUACGUUGUUGCGCGCUCCGCCAGUGAGGAGUGACGUGGCACCGCGUAUUCUACCGCAGUGCAUUCGUCGCUGCGUUCGUGCCUGUUAUGUGCGCUGCAACCUCGCCUUUGAAAGGACGACAACCUUGCUUUUUAAUUACAAGUUUAAUGUUUGCUUAAGGUAAGUCAACCUGGCUGUGAUGCAACGUACGACGCCUGCGUUUUACUUUAACAAUCGUUGUGUUGCAGACGAUGGACACAUUGCAAAUGGCGGCAGGAGUGGAUCGGCUACAUCGGUGAAGCGUUACAAGCGAGGCUAAUUGUAUUCUUUCGUUAUAGGUGAACUUGGGACUGUAUCGACUGCAAGGACGUAGUGUCCUGUCACAACGGUCACGCAUAUGCGUGCAAAGCUGCAACUGCAUCUCACAUCGAAGAGGGGUCUGGUGCCACAUGCUCGGACAAUUAUUCGUCGGCCAUUUCGUUUGAGGAACUGUCGUGUUCGUCACUAAGGAUGAUCUUGGUUGAGCUUUGCAGUGCCAGCCUGGUGCAUCGGAGGGGUUGUGCCCAUGCAACGUGUGCUCCAUAUGUGUGUGUUGGGAUUAGUGAACCGUGUAUGCUUUCCAUUCGGCCAACGAUGAUGUACUGGAUGAAAUUUAAAGGUAUGUGCACGCCAAUAAAAUUUAGUGUUUCAAGUUCAAUGUCCUUGGUGCAUUUUUUCCCCUAUUUUCUUCUUCUUUUUUCUUUUUCUUUUUUUGCGAAGCCUGGAGAUCAUUUUCUUUAGAGAACUCGAGAGGCAUAAUGUGUCUCGCGUAUUAGUGGGUACAAGUAUUCCUUCACUACGUCCGGUACACUGUGGCUCCUGGCGUCAGCAGCGAUGUCGUACCAGUUGUUUCAGGGGGCACAGGGCACCUACAGCUUUCGCAGGCUUCCUCUUGAAGUCAUCUGGUGCACUUUUUCAGAAAUGUGACAGUUGAUCAGGCGGCAUCUAUCCGUCAAUGGGUUUAGAAUGUACAUUGUACCUAUUUGAGACGUACUUGUCUGAAGUUUGAGUUUCGGGCUUUCACAGCAUUCUGCAGCCUCUGUGAAGAGUCGUUGCAAGUAGUAAGCAGCAGGCAGGUCGGGAAAAAUCUGCUGUGCCUGUUUAUUACUCACUACCUGCAGCAUGCCGCAGAAAGCAGCGAAACCAUGAAACCCAAAUGACAGACAGUAUGUCGCCAGCAGUACAUGUCCAGCUCAAUAUGACUUUUUUUCAGAGCAUUCAAGAAAACCUGUGAAGCGAAAAAGCCGCUGCUCCUUGCUCGCUCUUUCGCUGCUCCUUGAGGGCACCUUAAGCUUUGGCACACUUUGCUAUACUGGCGUCAGGAGUUUUAAAGCAGUGUUGCCCAGCAGGACUUUACAUCAUUCUUGUUGAAUGUUUCUUUUAAGACCCCAGAACUAAGGGAGACCGAGCUUUGUUAUGCAAUGCACAAAGCAGGUGCUUUGUAUCCUGGCAAGCAAGAGUUUCAUGCCAUAUAUAGCUUCGGCGGUAAUUACGGUUCCAGUGUUGAUAUGUGGUGUUUGUCUGGUUUGGCCUUAUUAGCAAUACAAAGGAUUGUAACUGCGGUAGCAAUUGGACCUCAAGCACUAUGAAAUAAAGAACCGUUAUACUUAACCUA
Long non-coding RNA from Ornithodoros turicata, 2176 nucleotides. RefSeq lists it as uncharacterized. The transcript has 2 exons. Lineage: Eukaryota; Metazoa; Arthropoda; Arachnida; Ixodida; Argasidae. The record is from RefSeq and is a predicted model, not a curated record.